GGGGGAGGUACGGAAAGCGGAAGUUCCUGAGAACCUGGUUGUUCCUGUGAACCGCACCUCCCAGCUUUAAUACCCUGUUACUUCUUGGGCUCCUGGACUUAGAUUCCAAGUGUAGAAAAAGGGGAACUUCCAGCACAUGUUGUGCUCUUGAGGACACAAUGGAAGUUUAGCGAAACCGGUGGCUCUACAUUGGGGACUUAGUUCCAUACCCAGAAGAAAUAAACCAGCGCAUCCUUCUUUAAUCUAA
RNAcentral lists this long non-coding RNA (247 nucleotides) under Rattus norvegicus (Norway rat). RNAcentral describes it as "long non-coding RNA NONRATT015695". The record is from RNAcentral. Lineage: Eukaryota; Metazoa; Chordata; Mammalia; Rodentia; Muridae.